CGGAGGGUGCAAGCGUUAUCCGGAUUCACUGGGUUUAAAGGGUGCGUAGGUGGGUCUGUAAGUCAGUGGUGAAAUCUCCGGGCUUAACUCGGAAACUGCCGUUGAUACUAUAGAUCUUGAAUAUCGCGUAGGUAAGCGGAAUAUGUCACGUAGCGGUGAAAUGCUUAGAUAUGACAUAGAACACCAAUUGCGAAGGCAGCUUACUUCACGAUCAUUGACACUGAGGCACGAAAGCGUGGGGAGCAAACAGGAUUAGAUACCCUGGUAGUCCACGCCCUAAACGAUGGAUACUCGACAUUAGCGAUACACAGUUAGUGUCUGAGCGAAAGCAUUAAGUAUCCCACCUGGGAAGUACGACCGCAAGGUUG
RNAcentral lists this ribosomal RNA (368 nucleotides) under uncultured organism. RNAcentral's name for it is "bacterial SSU rRNA". It matches the Rfam family "Bacterial small subunit ribosomal RNA", at positions 526 to 896 of the family's 1533-position model. The record is from RNAcentral.